AGUGAACGCUGGCGGUAGGCCUAACACAUGCAAGUCGAACGGCAGCACAGUAAGAGCUUGCUCUUACGGGUGGCGAGUGGCGGACGGGUGAGGAAUACAUCGGAAUCUACUUUUUCGUGGGGGAUAACGUAGGGAAACUUACGCUAAUACCGCAUACGACCUACGGGUGAAAGCAGUGGAUCUUCGGACCUUGCGCGAUUGAAUGAGCCGAUGUCGGAUUAGCUAGUUGGCGGGGUAAAGGCCCACCAAGGCGACGAUGCGUAGCUGGUCUGAGAGGAUGAUCAGCCACACUGGAACUGAGACACGGUCCAGACUCCUACGGGAGGCAGCAGUGGGGAAUAUUGGACAAUGGGCGCAAGCCUGAUCCAGCCAUACCGCGUGGGUGAAGAAGGCCUUCGGGUUGUAAAGCCCUUUUGUUGGGAAAGAAAAGCAGCAGGUUAAUACCCCGCUGUUCUGACGGUACCCAAAGAAUAAGCACCGGCUAACUUCGUG
RNAcentral lists this ribosomal RNA (492 nucleotides) under uncultured bacterium. Its description in RNAcentral is "partial 16S ribosomal RNA". It matches the Rfam family "Bacterial small subunit ribosomal RNA", at positions 29 to 507 of the family's 1533-position model. The record is from RNAcentral.